Non-coding RNA from Pelobates cultripes (western spadefoot toad), 455 nucleotides. The record is from the annotation of a GenBank genome assembly. NCBI's taxonomy places the organism in Eukaryota, Metazoa, Chordata, Amphibia, Anura, Pelobatidae.
CUCUUUAUUCCAAGUUCAGACAACAGUACAAAACAUUUUCAGAAUGGCAACAGUUGAAAAGUGCAAUAUAGCAUACUGCAUUCUCAGUCUACAUUAUUGAAUGAACGAGGGAAGGUAAACAACACAAUAAAAGAAGGAGAGAACUGUAAAGAUAGAGGAAAAAGACAAGAGAAAAGAGAGAUGAGAAAGACGCCAGAGAGGAAGAGUUGCUGCGGGUGAGGGGUCAAACAGACGAAUUCCAUUAAGGUGAUUAUCCUGUUAAGACUCAAAUAACAUCCAGGACCUCUGGAAUGUCAGUAAGGUAUCCUGUGCUUGUGCUUUCAGUUCCUCCAUUAUAUAGGUAUCUUGACGUUUCUAAAUACAAAAGAGAAAUGUCAGCUCUAGAAAUAUACUGAUGGAAUAGAUAUAGGAAGCACAACACUCAAUCCGGGAUCUCUCUUCACCAGUGAAUAUAA